RNAcentral lists this ribosomal RNA (723 nucleotides) under uncultured Campylobacterota bacterium. Its description in RNAcentral is "bacterial SSU rRNA". It matches the Rfam family "Bacterial small subunit ribosomal RNA", at positions 647 to 1364 of the family's 1533-position model. The record is from RNAcentral. Lineage: Bacteria; Pseudomonadati; Campylobacterota.
UAUGGGAGAGGUAGAUGGAAUUUCUGGUGUAGGGGUAAAAUCCGUAGAGAUUAGAAGGAAUACCGAUUGCGAAGGCGAUCUACUGGAACAUUAUUGACGCUGAGACGCGAAAGCGUGGGGAGCAAACAGGAUUAGAUACCCUGGUAGUCCACGCCCUAAACGAUGUACAUUAGUUGUUGCUAUGCUAGACAUAGCAGUAAUGCAGUUAACACAUUAAAUGUACCGCCUGGGGAGUACGGUCGCAAGAUUAAAACUUAAAGGAAUAGACGGGGACCCGCACAAGCGGUGGAGCAUGUGGUUUAAUUCGACGAUACGCGAAGAACCUUACCUGGCCUUGACAUAGAAAGAAUUUAGCAGAGAUGUAAAAGUGCUAGUUUACUAGAGCUUUCAUACAGAUGCUGCACGGCUGUCGUCAGCUCGUGUCGUGAGAUGUUAGGUUAAGUCCUGCAACGAGCGCAACCCUCGUGUUUAGUUACUAACAGAUUAUGCUGAGGACUCUAGACAUACUGCCUGGGCAACCAGGAGGAAGGUGAGGACGACGUCAAGUCAUCAUGGCCCUUACGGCCAGGGCUACACACGUGCUACAAUGGGGUAUACAAAGAGCAGCGAUACCGCGAGGUGGAGCAAAUCUCAUAAAAUAUCUCCCAGUUCGGAUUACACUCUGCAACUCGAGUGUAUGAAGUUGGAAUCGCUAGUAAUCGUAGAUCAAGCAAUGCUACAGUG